This 253-nucleotide ribosomal RNA is filed under the name uncultured bacterium. RNAcentral's name for it is "partial 16S ribosomal RNA". It matches the Rfam family "Bacterial small subunit ribosomal RNA", at positions 524 to 776 of the family's 1533-position model. The record is from RNAcentral.
GACGGAGGAUGCAAGUGUUAUCCGGAAUCACUGGGCGUAAAGCGUCUGUAGGUGGUUUAAUAAGUCAACUGUUAAAUCUUGAGGCUCAACCUCAAAAUCGCAGUCGAAACUAUUAGGCUAGAGUAUAGUAGGGGUAAAGGGAAUUUCCAGUGGAGCGGUGAAAUGCGUAGAGAUUGGAGAGAACACCGAUGGCGAAGGCACUUUACUGGGCUAUUACUAACACUCAGAGACGAAAGCUAGGGUAGCAAAUGGG